This is a long non-coding RNA of Balaenoptera ricei (Rice's whale), 4371 nucleotides long. RefSeq lists it as uncharacterized. The transcript is spliced from 5 exons. Lineage: Eukaryota; Metazoa; Chordata; Mammalia; Artiodactyla; Balaenopteridae. The record is from RefSeq and is a predicted model, not a curated record.
CAGAAGGUCAGACGGUGGCGUUCUGAGAGUUCUCAUUUCAGACAGCGAGGGUGCUCUCAGCGAAUGCCUGACGGACGGGGAGACUUGGUUUGGCAACUGUGCGUGUCGUCUUCCGUUCGACAGUAGAGCUCAGAUGGGUUGAGAUAGCCCCCAAGUGGACUGAGUGGGGCGAAAGACAAGCCACCAAAUCUGCAAACAGGACUAUGGAACUGUGAGAAAAUAGUGUAGAAUUAAGGUGCCAUUUGGAGUAUGAGGAAGUUUCUGAUGAAGAACUCCCAUGGAAAAGUGAUAUUUGAGGUCAACAGUUACCACCAAUACAAGGUACCCAACUGCACAGAGAUGGAGCCUAGAGCAGCAGGAGGUGGUACAUAAAAACACAGAAGUUUGAUUUGGUUCAGUUUCUUGGAGCUUCUUGCCUGGGGAGCAUCGUCCACGCACACCAGUACCUAUGAAGAUAAUUAGCCAGCAUUCCUUUUCCUGAAGCCGUAGUCUAGGGCUCUGCCUUCAUCACAUAGGCUGCGCUGUGUCCCUGUUCAGGCUCAAGUCAUCUUCUACUUACGAGUGCCCAGCUGAUUGACUUACUGUUUCUUCCUCACACCUCGCUGUGUAUUCUCUGUGCCGCGCGGCUUGUGGGACCUUAGUUCCCCGACCAGGGAUCGAACCCGGGCCCGUGGCAGUGAAAGCACUGAGUCCUAACCACUGGACCACCGGGGAAUUCCCUGGAUCCGUUGCUUUUAAUUUGAAAUUACUUUAUCUGGAAAGAUGCCUGGAGGUUAAAAGAAAUCACGUUGACUAUAUUUUAAAAUGUAAUACUGUUUAAAAAUACAUUUGCCCUAUAUUUCCAAACUUUGCGACACCCUGAGUUAGUUGUAUAAGUAAACAACUGUAUGAUCAAUAAAUAUUUAUUUAUAUGAUGACGCGUAUAAUACAACCACAAAAAAGUGGAGGUUGAUAACCUCUUCAUAAAUCAUUUUUAACUCUAUUUUCCCUCAUUCCAUUUCUACCUGCGCAUAUGCUAUUCAUGCUUAUCCUUUCAAUUUCCUAUCUUCCAAAGAAUUCCUGGAAAACGCAGUUCUCUCCUAUUCCAGGAAGUGGGCAAAGCUCUGACUUGUCCUAUGUUUUAAUACAGUUUCCAUGUGGUAUCAAGUUCAUGAAUGACACUAUGUAAGUAUGCUUUCUUAUAGAUGCAUAUUUUCUAGCCUAACUUUGCUAAAGACUACUUUUUGAGACUUGCCUGUGGUUAAGGCACCCUAAAAUACAGACAAGUUGGCUUUUUAUGGAUAUCAGAAUCAUGGCAGCCUUUGGAACACACUCUCCGUUGUUUAAAAUCUACAUAUAAUGUUCAGUAUGUGUAAGUUUCUUACCAGGUGCUGUAGAAUAUGCAUACAAGAAGUCUGCCUCAACCGGUAUUUUCUGACAGGCCAUAUCAUCCUCAACACCACUGUCUGUCUCAAUACCACAGUCCAGUUCUGUGCCUCGGCAAGCCUAGAGGUUAGAAAAUAAACAUUUAUUUAAAAAGUUAAAAAAAAAAAGAAGAAAAAGAAACUAAACAUUUAUUUUAAAAAAUAUGUGUGUACAUGCAUCACUGUUAUUUCUAAGAAAUGCAAAGGCUCUGUAAAAAUUGAUGUUAAUUAUGCAGAAUCCUUUUGCUAGAAGUCUAAAAUUAAAACUUAUUCUCUAUCUCCUAAGUGGUAGUUUAAAUAAACAAAAAACUAACAAUAGUUCAGUAGCUUCAGGGAAAAAAAUAAAUUUUUUUGAUAAUCCACAGUUGAGUAAAUUAAUCCCUAAUGAAUCCUCAAUAACCAAGAUGCUCAGUUAUAUAUUACCUGAAUAAUGAAAAGUUUAGGUUUUCCAGUUAGACUUAUACAACAAUCCCCUCUGAAGAAGCCUGCUAAUUUUUUCAGAUCGACAGGUCCAUUUGUUCCAAAAAUUUUUCCUUCCUCGCCAUGGCUUAGAAGCACACAAAUAAAACUGCUCCUUUUGCUAUGAUCUUCUUUAGAAACUGGGAAAACGUUUACAAACAAGAAAAACAAACAGAAAACCAAUGCAAUUUUAUGCAACCAUCUCAUAUGCACUGUAUGGGAAUAAAAUGAAGAAAUCUGAGAACAGAACUAAGAGAUCGUGUAAACCCAACUUGGGGCAGAGCAACACACCUCAAACCACUCUAGGGAGCUGGUAUGAAUAACUUGUUUUACUUACAUAAAAUAUAUAGGGUAGGAUUGUGUACAGUUUAGUUCCACAAUUCUCAUGCUUUACUUUUAUAUGUGUAUAAUUACAGCUAGACUGUAACAUAAACUGGACAACGAAGGUCAUCCUGUUCAUUAUUUCUUACCACUGUACAUUAAUUCCAAAAUUUCUUCACAUGUAAGAUCAUUUUUAUUCCUAACUUCAUAUUUCAAGUUCGUGAAGGUUUCCCAGAGGUUGGCUGCAUCGACGUCUGUACCAGACCGACAUGCCAUCCCUUGAACAGAAAAAGUUACUUUUAGUUGCAUUAAAAAAAAAACAUUUGACUUAACCUGGUGGCGCAGUGGUUAAGAAUCUGCCUGCCAAUGCAGGGGAUACGGGUUCGAGCCCUGGUCCGGGAAGAUUCCCACAUGCCACGGAGCAACUAAGCCCGUGCACCACAACUACUGAGCCUGCGCUCUAGAGCCCGUGAGCCACAACUACUGAGCCCACAUGCUGCAACUACUGAAGCCCGUGCGCCUCAAGCCCGUGCUCCGCAACAAAAGAAGCCACCGCCACGAGAAGCCCGCGCACCACAACUAGAGUAAGCUCGUGUGCAGCAACGAAGACCCAACGCAGCCAAAAAUAAAAAAUAUAAAAAAAAAAAAAAAAAAAAAAAAACUGCUUUGAAAUGAACUAUUCAGUGAUUCACACAAUCCACAGUAAACUCUUCCUUGCAAAUGCUAAGAAAAUUCAAUACUCUGAUCGUGGUGACACAAAGUCUCUUUCAUUUCUUAGCAUAUAAGACACUUCAUAACAUAAACUGUUAUAGUGCUACAGUCACAAAGACGUCUUUCACUGCUGCUUAGAUAGUGAAAAACAAACUUAAAUGCCUAACAAGAGAGGUUUGGUUAAAUAAAUUAAAAGUCAUUUAUAUAAUGGGAUACUAUAUUGCCACUGAAAUUUUGUAGACAAAAUUUUGGUAUGGGAAAAUGGUCACUUAAAAAAAAAAGAAUAGGAUCCUACUUUAAAGAAAAAAUUAGAAGUGUAUAUAUAUAUACACACCCACACCCACACCCACAUACAUAUUGUACAUACACAAACACACACAUACCACCACACACACAUAUGUAUCAAUACACACCUCACAAACUCAGAGGAACUAUUUCUUUGAUUUCAAGUUCCCAACAAUUCUAAGAUACAUUAGUACUUUCAUAACACCUUUUCAGGAAAAACCCCAUAAACCACUAGGCACUUUAGCACUGUUCAUCAGGCAUUCUGCUCUGUGUGGUCUCCAUUAAGCCUUCUAACCACCAUGAGACCGUUAUCAUGACUGGCUUCAUUUGCACAGAUGUGGGAGCACAGAGGAGUCCAGGAACUUGGACAAAGUACUGAAGCUGGUGUGCGGACUGUACCCAGGAGUCCUGGGCUUUCCUCAUGCCUUUACAGCGCCUUCCACAUACACGUGCGGAUUGACUGAACAGUGAAUUCAGAUUUAAAAAUCCUAAAGUGCUGCCGGGGGAGGGCACACAUUGAGUAAACUUAACACAUAUGCACAGAAAAAAGACUAGAUGUUUCCAGCUCCAAAUUAUUGUUGUUUAUCUGAGUAGUGUCAUUAGGAGUGAUUUCAAUUUUUCUUUUGCUACUCUGUAAUUUCUGAAAUGUAUAUUAUGGCCAUAUAUUAUUUUUAUAAAAUUAAAGUAAGCUCAUCAAGGUUUUGACAUUGGAAAGGCUGAGGACGCCAUGCAGAUGUGUGACAAGGUGACUGAAUUCUGGUCCUGGUUUGUGAGCCACUUAGUAGUUGAACAGAAAAUACCAGGCUGUCAGAGACAGUUGUGAGAAACUGACCUUCAAAUUUCAAAGCAGAAAAGGGGCUCACUCUAAGGCUAAAGCCAGACUACAGGCAUAAGUAUUUUUGGGGGGAGAGUAGAACAAUUUCCGCCCCCCCCUUUAAAGAUAAGUAAGUACUCGGGAUGUACUAGAGAGACAACGUAAAACGUGAUAAACAUAAUUAACACUGUUGUAUGUUAUAUAUGAAAGUUGUUAAGAGAGGAAAUCCUAAGAGUUCUCAUCACAAGGAAAAAAGCAUUUUUCUAGCUCUUUAAUGUUGUAUCUGUUGGAGUUGAUGGACGUUCACUAAACUUAUUGUGAUAAUCAUUUCAUGAUCUAUGGAAGUCGAAUCAUUAUGCUGUACACCUUAAACUUAUA